This 506-nucleotide ribosomal RNA is filed under the name uncultured bacterium. Its description in RNAcentral is "partial 16S ribosomal RNA". It matches the Rfam family "Bacterial small subunit ribosomal RNA", at positions 30 to 523 of the family's 1533-position model. The record is from RNAcentral.
AUUGAACGCUGGCGGCAGGCCUAACACAUGCAAGUCGAACGGCAGCACAGAAGAGCUUGCUCUUUGGGUGGCGAGUGGCGGACGGGUGAGUAAUGUCUGGGAAACUGCCCGAUGGAGGGGGAUAACUACUGGAAACGGUAGCUAAUACCGCAUAACGUCGCGAGACCAAAGUGGGGGACCUUCGGGCCGCACACAAUCGGAUGUGCCCAGAUGGGAUUAGCUAGUAGGUGGGGUAAUGGCUCACCUAGGCGACGAUCCCUAGCUGGUCUGAGAGGGUGACCAGCCACACUGGAACUGAGACACGGUCCAGACUCCUACGGGAGGCAGCAGUGGGGAAUAUUGCACAAUGGGCGCAAGCCUGAUGCAGCCAUGCCGCGUGUAUGAAGAAGGCCUUCGGGUUGUAAGGUACUUUCAGCGGGGAGGAAGGCGGUGAGGUUAAUAACCUUGCCGAUUGACGUUACCCGCAGAAGAAGCACCGGCUAACUCUGUGCCAGCCGCCGCUGUAA